AUUGAACGCUGGCGGCAUGCUUUACACAUGCAAGUCGAACGGCAGCGCGGGCUUCGGCCUGGCGGCGAGUGGCGAACGGGUGAGUAAUACAUCGGAACGUGCCCAGUAGUGGGGGAUAGCUCGGCGAAAGCCGGAUUAAUACCGCAUACGACCUGAGGGUGAAAGCGGGGGAUCUUCGGACCUCGCGCUAUUGGAGCGGCCGAUGGCAGAUUAGCUAGUUGGUGGGGUAAAGGCCUACCAAGGCGACGAUCUGUAGCUGGUCUGAGAGGACGACCAGCCACACUGGGACUGAGACGCGGCCCAGGCUCCUACGGGAGGCAGCAGUGGGGAAUUUUGGACAAUGGGCGAAAGCCUGAUCCAGCAAUGCCGCGUGUGUGAUGAAGGCCUUCGGGUUGUAAAGCACUUUUGGCGGGAACGAAAAGGACUGUGCCAAUACCACGGUUCGAUGACGGUACCCGCAGAAUAAGCACCGGCUAACUACGUG
This 484-nucleotide ribosomal RNA is filed under the name uncultured bacterium. RNAcentral's name for it is "partial 16S ribosomal RNA". It matches the Rfam family "Bacterial small subunit ribosomal RNA", at positions 29 to 507 of the family's 1533-position model. The record is from RNAcentral.